Varroa destructor (honeybee mite) is the source of this 895-nucleotide long non-coding RNA. RefSeq lists it as uncharacterized. Lineage: Eukaryota; Metazoa; Arthropoda; Arachnida; Mesostigmata; Varroidae. The record is from RefSeq and is a predicted model, not a curated record.
CCUGCGAAAUGAAUUCUAUUGGGGAUCCAGGCGUUAACAUAAAGCAAAAAUGAGAUUGUGCAGCGAUUAUACUGAUGUAUGGAGAAAACCGAUCUUUAGAAAAACAGUUAAGAAGUAACAAAUUUGGAAUAAGAUCUAAAAAUCUUUAAUCUGGAUGAAGUCCCAUAGAAUUACCAAUUUAUAGGAAGUUCGUCAGCAGCAAGUGAAUCAAAAUGACAGCUAUUGAGAUAGGUAAAUGUGAGCUACGAUUCAACGAAGGCCAGAGCUUCUGCCCAAUAAGACAUUUUCGAGAAGUUCGUUGAAAACCACCUACCGGUCAAGGGGAUUGUGCACGAGCAUUUUAGAAACAAGAUCCUUUGCUGAACUGCUUACUGCAUCCCAUAUAGGACCUGACAUCUGGAACAGGAUAAAUUCGUUUGCUCAGCAUCCAGUACGCAAAUACAACGGAGUUACUAUUUGCGGGACCAGAGUGAGGAUUCAUAAGCUUAAACCGGAGAAUUGGGCUCAUCGACCUUUUUUAUGAAACUGAUUGUUGGAGACUCACUGUUUACGAUAACAUCGUUCACGGCCCGUUAGGAGCUAUACGCAAUCGUGUAUUUGAUUAAAAAUGUUGAUUGCCGAAGAUCUACUUCGGGAUACAUUAAAGGUCUAUAAACUGUCACUUAAUUAUCACGUUAAAUAGAUUGCAAAAAGAAGUGCAAAUGGUUACAGGGAAAAAGUCGACAAGAUUGCAGGUCGAAUCCGCCAGACAUGAUGGACAUCGCGCAUCCUGGCCGAGGAUGGCUUGAGGAAGACAUGUGAGCAAUGAAGCGCCUCCGAUGGCAAAUGAUUCCGGCUUUGGUUACGAGUCUACACGUGUACGGGGUUGUAUAAAAAGAUCGUAAAAUCGGUUUAU